UCGACGGAGAGUUUGAUCCUGGCUCAGGACGAACGCUGGCGGCGGGCCUAAUACAUGCAAGUCGAACGCACUCGACCUUCGGGUCACAUGAGUGAGUGGCGAACGGGUGAGUAACACGUGAGAAACCUGCCCUGAAGACCGGAAUAACCCGAGGAAACUCGAGCUAAUACCGGAUAUCCCCAUCUGGUCGCAUGGCCUAAUGAGGAAAUGUUCAGGCGCUUCAGGAGGGUCUCACGGCCUAUCAGCUAGUUGGUGAGGUAACGGCUCACCAAGGCAUCGACGGGUAGCUGGUCUGAGAGGACGAUCAGCCACACUGGGACUGAGACACGGCCCAGACUCCUACGGGAGGCAGCAGUAGGGAAUCUUCCGCAAUGGGCGAAAGCCUGACGGAGCGACGCCACGUGGAUGAUGAAGGCCUUCGGGUCGUAAAAUCCUGUCAGAGGGGACGAUGGCUAGUCCUUGGACCGGUUGACGGUACCCUCAGAGGAAGCUCCGGCCAACUACGUGCCAGCAGCCGCGGUAAUACGUAGGGGGCGAGCGUUAUUC
This 546-nucleotide ribosomal RNA is filed under the name Acidimicrobiales bacterium. RNAcentral describes it as "bacterial SSU rRNA". It matches the Rfam family "Bacterial small subunit ribosomal RNA", at positions 1 to 546 of the family's 1533-position model. The record is from RNAcentral. Lineage: Bacteria; Bacillati; Actinomycetota; Acidimicrobiia; Acidimicrobiales.